AACAAGGAUUCCCCUAGUAACGGCGAGUGAAGCGGGAAGAGCUCAAAUUUGAAAGCUGUUGCCUUUGGUAACCGCAUUGUAAUCUCGAGAUCUGUUUUCCGCGCUGGACCAUGUACAAGUCCCUUGGAAUAGGGCGUCAUAGAGGGUGAGAAUCCCGUACUUGACAUGGACUCCCAGUGCUUUGUGAUACAGGCUCAACGAGUCGAGUUGUUUGGGAAUGCAGCUCAAAAUGGGUGGUAAAUUCCAUCUAAAGCUAAAUAUUGGGGAGAGACCGAUAGCGAACAAGUACCGUGAGGGAAAGAUGAAAAGCACUUUGGAAAGAGAGUUAAACAGUACGUGAAAUUGUCAAAAGGGAACCGUUUGAAGUUAGUCAUGCUUGCCUGGACUCAGCCUUGCUUUUGCUUGGUGCAUUUCCAGGUACGCAGGUCAGCAUCGGUUUUGACUGCUGGAUAAGGGUGAGAGGAAUGUGGCACCCUCGGGUGUGUUAUAGCCUUUCACUGGAUGCAGCAGUUGGGACCGAGGAACGCAGCGCGCCUUUAUGGCGGACCUUCGGGUACCUUCGCGCUUAGGAUG
RNAcentral lists this ribosomal RNA (573 nucleotides) under Entyloma sp. PB 2857e. Its description in RNAcentral is "eukaryotic LSU rRNA". It matches the Rfam family "Eukaryotic large subunit ribosomal RNA", at positions 67 to 625 of the family's 3401-position model. The record is from RNAcentral. Lineage: Eukaryota; Fungi; Basidiomycota; Exobasidiomycetes; Entylomatales; Entylomataceae.